UAUGUCAAGCUGUGGUCUACUUAACCAUUAAUCAGCGCUGUUGAUAAAGACCACCCAGAACUCAAUCCUUCCAGGAAAUGACUUUGGGACCUCAAUGUAAAGGAUACAGUGUGUCGUUUUCACACUGGUAGGUGAAAUGCUGGAGACAUGACAUCAGAAUAUGGACGAGAUUCGACAUGCCAAAAAUAAUCGUGGUUGUCUCCCUUUAACCGCUGUGAUUAUAAUAUUAUGCAGUUUAAGAAAAGCAGGAACUGGUUGCAGUAAAAAAGAAAUGAGGGUAUGCCAAUGCGUGCAGACGGUCUAUAAUGUAACCCUGAUCUAGAACUUACAAAGGGCUCUGUCUUGUAGGAUGUGAUCCUGUGAUGUCCAGCAAGUAUUAGAACAACAGUAAAAUCUCUUAGUAAUUCAUUUUAACCACAGUUUUGCUUUAAACAAGUGUCUCUGUGGCAUUAAAGAUCGAAAAUUACAGUAAAUUACACAUGUGUUACAAAACCGAUAGAAACAUUUGGUACAGUAAGACAUCUAUAAUUCUUAAUAACCUUAUUUGUAAACAUUUUACAGUGUUUUAAUUGUAUUGUUUUGUUAUUGACAGAUCAAUGAGAAAGUAUUGGGAAAACAUAACACCAAAAU
Long non-coding RNA from Mya arenaria, 630 nucleotides. RefSeq lists it as uncharacterized. The transcript is spliced from 3 exons. The record is from RefSeq and is a predicted model, not a curated record. NCBI's taxonomy places the organism in Eukaryota, Metazoa, Mollusca, Bivalvia, Myida, Myidae.